RNAcentral lists this long non-coding RNA (730 nucleotides) under Marmota monax (woodchuck). Lineage: Eukaryota; Metazoa; Chordata; Mammalia; Rodentia; Sciuridae. The record is from RNAcentral.
AGGGGCCAUACAGACUCCGCCGUGGCUCUCAGCAACGGUUGGUCUGCUGUGCGUUUUUCUUUUUCUUUUUUUUUCUCCUUUUCUGUUCUGAUCUGGUCUAUUUGCCAUGUUCAAAUUCUGGCAUCAAUUAACAGAGAGUUGGAGGUAGAAUAAUUGUAAUGAUGCAAUAUUUCACAGCCAGUGGCUGCAGAGGAGCAGUUCCUCUCCUCGACCCUGGGCCUUUGUGGCAGUCCCUGUGAGCAUGGGCAGGACACCCCACCUCCUCGAGCACAGCUCGGAGUGGGCCAUCCAGUUGAACCGGCACCAUGUCUGUUCUUCUGCUCUGCCUAAUGCAACCAGCACCAGUGCAUGUGGCCCCUGAGCAUGCAAAAUGCAGCCAGUGGCACCGAGGUCCUGAAUUUCAAUGCAACUUAGAUUAAUGUGGAUUUAAGUAGCCCUCUGUGGCUAGGGACUGCCACAUUGGACCACCCGGCUCUACAGACCCUCUGUAUCCAUCUCCAGGAAGUGACCCAUGUUGAGCUGAACGCCGACAUACCCUCCGAGGUGGCUUCUGUCCCCGCUGAGGUGCCCCCAGCAUCUCGAGAAGGUGCAGAGCUGGAAGUGUAGAAGAGGGGGACACGCUGGGGGAGGGAUUAGGAGCACUGUGGUGAUUGGGAAUGCGGAAAUCCAUUUGUCCCUGCGGCCUUGCUCGUAGCCACAUCAAUAAAAGAAGUUUCUCAUCUCAGAAGGA